CAGCAGCCGCCGCGGGAAUACGGAGGGGGCUAGCGUUGUUCGGAAUUACUGGGCGUAAAGCGCACGUAGGCGGCUUUGUAAGUUAGAGAUGAAAGCCCGGAGCUCAACUCCGGAAUUGCCUUUAAGACUGCAGAGCUAGCAGGUGAGAGAGGUGAGUGGAAUUCCGAGUGUAGAGGUGAAAUUCGUAGAUAUUCGGAAGAACACCAGUGGCGAAGGCGGCUCACUGGCUCAUACUGGACGCUGAGGUGCGAAAGCGUGGGGAGCGAACAGGAUUAGAUACCCCCGUAGUCCCUGUCUCUUAUAC
Molecule: ribosomal RNA, 304 nt
Filed under: uncultured bacterium
Lineage: Bacteria
Description: partial 16S ribosomal RNA
Rfam family: Bacterial small subunit ribosomal RNA
Source: RNAcentral